ACUUUUUAGAGUGAACUGCACCUGCUCUGGCAGAAUGUCCUCUUGUCUUCUGCCUCUGCCUCCCAUCUCUGUAGUAAUUAUGGCACCAGCCAGGUUUACGGUGCUUCAGGAAAGCCAGUUGCCCAUGCUCCUUCAUGGAUCCAGGACAUUUUCACUUGAGGGGCCUCUCUCAUCCUGUUUAUGUUAGUUCUAAUCAUUCUUCAUGAGGGGGAAAAUCAUUUUAUAAUGCAGCUGCACAUUCCCAGCUGAUGCAGGUUUCCUGUUUACAUUGCAUUAGACACCAGAUCAAACGGAGAGCCACUUCUGUAAAAUGACUGCUGUUACAGUGGUGAAACCCUGCUCAUUCUACAUUGGCUCCUGGUUUUAACAUGGUGUUCCCUCUACUGCUCAAGGAGCUCUUGGAGGAAUACAGCACAGGGGAACGAGAAAUAUUUUCCAUGUCUUCUUACAGUCAAGACUUAAGGAUUCCCAAAGUGUGAAAACCCACUUGCUGAUUUCUACAAGCCAGUUGCUGCAGGCUAGGGACAAAGUGUCAUGGGAAGGAUGAAUAAUUAGGAGCCAGCAGGAGAAAAUAGCAUGGAGGGAACUUCAGAUCUUGGAUGCAGUGCUUCAUACAUGUACUUGGAAAUGUAGAAUUUACAAGAUGCACAAACAAGAUGCAAGCACAAUAUUUUAAAGAACCAGAUUACUACUUGUCUCUUUUCAUCUGUAGUGGGUGCCCUUAGAUGUGUGACUUUAAAGCGAAAUUGUGUUUGCCAGCUUGCGUCACCAGCAUGGAGUUUCGGUAGCAAUUUUUGAAAACUAUAAAUAAUGCAAAAUUGCACAUGUGCGCAGAGACACUUACUAAUGUGUGUUGAGUGUUCUGUUAAUAUUUGCUUGAUUUUUAAAAAGCAUUUAUUGCAAAUAUGAAUACGCAGUUUGCGAGGGAACUUGCGAGGGGACGCAUAUACAACGAGGACAGGUAUCCUGGUUCCACUUGCUGACUCAGUUCACAGUUUGGGACUAAUGUUUCACACCACACUAUCCAUCCUGGAAACAUGCAAAGCAAACAUGGGGCCGAGCGGAUAUAAACCAUCAUCUAUGCAAUAAGGAGAGAAUGUUGAUGACUUGCAGAAGGUGAAUAAAAAGGGUUGGGGGGUAUGUUUUGUGAGACCAUCUGCUACUGUGAUUUGGAGCCUCCAUAUAAAACCAUGGCUCUAGCUCAUACAAAAGCCUUUAAAUAGGGUAACUAAUGGGUCACAUGCAUCCUUGCUUGUAAGGUUAAGACCCACAAGUCAUCAUUUGUAAGAAGGUGGGGGAUGAAUUGUUCACUGGAGGGAAAAGACAUUAAAUCUAAAUCCAUUGUAGCAGCCACAGGGGACUCUAUUGUUUCUCAGUAUUAUGUGUCUUAAUGAAAUGCAACUUAAUGCAUGUCUGUUGCUCUUGCCCCUCCGAUUUUGAGCCCUACUGCUACCUUCUUAGAAAAAGGGUGGUUCCCAAGUCUUCACCGCCAUCAAAAGCAAUUUUCCUCAAUCACCUGCUGUCUGCUGCUUUCUUCUCAUAGAAUAGCCUUGGGUUUUGACACAAACUAGGAAAUGCAGGACCAUUAGUUUCUGUGUUUGCUUUUCUGUGACCAUUGAAAAAAAAUAUCAGUGUUUAAAGAAUGGAGGCAGGGAAGUCUCAGGAGGAGGGGAGAAAUGUCUGGGAUGUACCUAGUAUGAAUGGAGAUCUGGACGAGGAGUUCAUGCUUGGGUGGGCAAAGCUUGUUCUGGAAGACUAUGGCAAAUCUCACCCAGGGUUCAUUUGCUGGUCAAAACCCACUAAUCAUGAGAGAGGGAUUCUGUGCUGGGGAGGACAGAACAGUGGGUCAAUCACAACAGGUCAUUGAUAUUGCCUUACAGUGCCAUACUGGGGUGGCUGGGAGGUUUCAUUGCUUAAUGGCAUCUCUGUCUUAUUUUGGACCCCAAGCUGCUGCUGCUGCUGCUGCUGCUCUUUAUCACUUUUAUAGCACCAACAGUAUGGUAGACUGUUGACCUAACUAAUUCCAUAUGUGUUAGACUAGACGAAUGAUCUUUGUACACAUAGGGAUUGUUUCAAACACUGAAGCUAUACAAGACUUCAGGUUUUUUUUCAGGGCAUUUUUAUGGAUGGCAUUGUUCAGCAGCUCCAUUUUGGCUUCUACUUUAGUUUAAAAUGAUAGUAGCGAUGGCUUCUCUUCCCAGCAACUAGCUGGCAAUUCUUUGUCUUACAAAGGUCUUCCCCCCCCCCCUUUUGAAAGAGGUGUUUAGGCAUCUGGUUUUCAAUCUCCUCCUUUUGCCUUCACUCCAUUAAUCAAAUUGGAAAAGCUGUGUCCUGGUACUGAAGUUUCUUUCCGAUCAUCACAUUGACCUCACUUUGUCAAGAAUGUUGCUGCUGCUUUCAGGUUAACUUUAUCUUCCAUCAGUUUUGAGUACCAUUAGUCUCUGUGCUUUAAUCUUUAUGUUUUGUGUUUCUCCCACUAUGUUCUUUUCUGGAGAUAUUAAAGGUCAAUCUACAUGCGCAUAUAUACAUUUUUUCCUUUUGAAGCUGGAAUUCGUUUUGGCUCUCCUAACUAGGCGAGUGUUGAAAAUCACAAGUUCCUUCUUGCCCACAAAGCUGAUCUCUUUUGAUCAUUGUUAAGGGACUUCGGGGCAGGAAAAGCAUGUGCUCUGGCUGCCAGACAACACUUGCUGUAGGUAGAUCAUUAGCUUUGCUCCACUGAGAAGAGCAGAUUGCUCACUUAAACAAGACCUGUGACAAAACAAACUAUACAGUAGUUUUGAUUUAGUUCUUUAUAAUAUCACAUAGUGUUUGUGGGUGAAAAAUGUAUAGGUAUUCAAUGAGAGAGAGAGAGAGAUCUGGACUAAGUUAAUUGAACAAGUUCUGUUGAAAUCACUGUUAACAAGCUAGUCAUGAUUUAAGUCCAACAGAUUUCAAUAGGAACUGUAUACAACUAAAUCUCUUUGGGUUUAGAAGCACUUCCCCAAACACAGUGGAACUCUCCUCCCCACCUGUCCCCUUGUCCUGCACCACCCCAAAUUUGCUCUGGGAGUCUGGGAAAAACCCCAGAGCAGAUCUGUGUAGGGAGUAGAGGGAGGAGAUGUUCCAUAGCACUUACAGAAAUCAUUUCUUAUGCGCAUUGAUUUAGUUGGAUACAAACUGUAGGCUGGAUACUACCCACUAUAUAUGUGAAAUGCAAACCUAUCUGGUAAAAGCUAUACAGAUGUCUACCCAUUCUUGGAAUCUCAGUUAAGACUGAAUUAUGUAUGUAUCUUUGUCCUUUGGGAUAAUGUCACUUCAGCAGAAAUAUGUGUAUUCCUUCUCAUCUACCACAUAUAUUCUGCCAAACAUUCAAGGUUUCUUGGAACAGCAGCAGAAAGGAAAUUUCUGUACUUUGCCAACUGUACCCUGUAAAUAUUCAGCUCCUUAUUUCUCCUUGGGGAGUAGAUAUCUUGAGAUUCCAUAUGGGCACUUACUGAGGCGGGAUUCCUUCCUGUCAUUCAUUCAUAACAAGCUGAUUUCCCUUGAAACAACACCGGGAAAUUGAGGGGCUCCUGUGAGGUCAGGGCUAUCCAGUGUAGUGCCCUCCAGAUAUUGUGGACUACAUCUCCCAGCAGCCCCAGGCAGCAUGGCAAAUGUUUAGGGAAUUAUAUAUUUUUAUUUUAUUUCAUAAAAUGUAUAUACUGCUUGGAUGUAAGGGGAAAUAAGCCCUAUCAAAGCUGUUGGCAAAAAUCAUGGGAGUUGUAGUCCAAAAAUCUGGAGGGCAUCACACUGGCUAGCCCUAUAUUAGGUUCAUUGUUCAUAAUUUUGAUAAAUGCCACACUUUGUUUCAAUACAAGUCAUUCAGAGCUUCUGUUGAUGAUGAUGUUCUGUCAUAAUCAUAACAUUUGUUGUUUAGUCGUUUAGUCGUGUCCGACUCUUCGUGACCCCAUGGACCAGAGCACGCCAGGCACUCCUGUCUUCCACCGCCUCCCGCAGUUUGGUCAGGCUCAUGUUUGUAGCUUCAAGAACACUGUCCAACCAUCUUGUCCCCUGUCGUCCCCUUCUCCUUGUGCCCUCCAUCUUUCCCAACAUCAGGGUCUUUUCCAGGGAGUCUUCUCUUCUCAUGAGGUGGCCAAAGUAUUGGAGCCUCAACUUCACGAUCUGUCCUUUCAGUGAGCACUCAGGGCUGAUUUCCUUCAGAAUGGAUAGGUUUGAUCUUCUUGCAGUCCAUGGGACUCUCAAGAGUCUCCUCCAGCACCAUAAUUCAAAAGCAUCAAUUCUUCGGCGAUCAGCCUUCUUGAUGGUCCAGCUCUCACUUCCAUACAUCACUACUGGGAAAACCAUAGCUUUAACUAUACGGACCUUUGUUGGCAAGGUGAUGUCUCUGCUUUUUAAGAUGCUGUCUAGGUUUGCCAUCGCCUUUCUCCCAAGGAGCAGGCGUCUCUUAAUUUCGUGACUGCUGUCACCAUCUGCAGUGAUCAUGGAGCCCAAAAAAGUAAAAUCUCUCACUGCCUCCAUUUCUUCCCCUUCUAUUUGCCAGGAGGUGAUGGGACCAGUGGCCAUGAUCUUCGUUUUUUUGAUGUUGAGCUUCAGACCAUAUUUUGCGCUCAUAACAUAGAACCAAUGAAUACAAUAGCCAUUCGUUAAAACAACCUUUUAAUAAUAGCUUUAAAUUGUUUAAAAAUCAGAUUAAAACUGAAUGUCCUAGUAAACACUGCCACCCUUCAAGUGGCCUGACAAGGACAUGUGGGCUUUUAGGAUGUAUGGAAUGAUGAGGCAUCCGUUGAGGGUGCAUGGGAAAUGGAUGUGCUGGAGAAGAAGGCGAUGGUCUGCUCAGGCUCCUAAUAGCUCAUUGUAAAUGUCAGAGCUGCUUCCAGAUCCUAGCUCACAGAGGAUCACGCUAGCCAGCGAUCAUUAAACAAAAGUCUUUAUUGAGUUACAGUUUCCAUUCUCAAACUGCUGCGUGCAACUCUACGUCUCAUGGUUAGACCGGCGAAGCUCCGUCUGAGUCUCCACCCCUUGUACACCAACUUAAUAUCCUAGCCCUGCUCCACCUUUUCCGCCUGACUGUUCUUCUCUGGGUCCCUCUGCCCCCUGGGGUCUCUUCUUUCCGGGAUUCCUCUGACGCUGACCCCCCUGACUCUUCUCCCUCCUUUCGGCGGGCUUUAGGACCUGGCUCCCUUUCCGGGCUGCCUACUGUGCCACCUUCCUGUGCAUUUGAACUUGCGCGCGCGCCCAACCUUCCACCUUCCGUCUGACCGUUUCUUCGCUCCCCGAUGGAGGUGUGGCCACUCCUGACUCGUGCCCUCCCCCCUGUUGUGAGCUGCCAGCGCUUGAUCCCUGGCUCCCUUCCUCUUCCCUGCUCUCUGGCGGUGACGCUGGUCCCGAUUUCCAACUGCUCCCCUCUGAGUCCCCUCUGGCUCUAUCUUCCUGGGGUGUCCCCUAGGCUCCCCCCUCGCCCUGGCCACUGGUGCUCCUUUCUGUGAAUCUUCUGAUUCACUGGAAAGACUCGGAGAUCUCGGGUCGUCGUCAUCACUCAUCUUUUCUUCUGCCUCCUCCCCCUCGCUCUCUGUUUCCUCCCUUGCCCUUGCCUCUGCUCCUGAACCCCUGACAGUAAAUAUCCCAGAAGAGAGAUUAGGGUUGUGGGUGGGGGUUGUCCCUUGAGGUCUACCUUGUACUAUACGGAGAUGUUUCAGGAGGAGCAAAUUAAAAAAGGUUUGAUGUCAUGUUAUUAAUAACUUUUUCUGUUAGGAGGUAGCAAAGUGGAUGAAAGGAGAAACAAACCAGAAGUGGAAGUUGGGGGAAGCCUACGAGGGGAGGGAGGAAGGAAUACAUAAUAAAUGUUAAGAAUCUGAGAUGUAUGUAAUGAAUG
Non-coding RNA from Podarcis lilfordi (Lilford's wall lizard), 5851 nucleotides. NCBI's taxonomy places the organism in Eukaryota, Metazoa, Chordata, Lepidosauria, Squamata, Lacertidae. The record is from the annotation of a GenBank genome assembly.